Long non-coding RNA from Cynocephalus volans (Philippine flying lemur), 3002 nucleotides. RefSeq lists it as uncharacterized. The record is from RefSeq and is a predicted model, not a curated record. NCBI's taxonomy places the organism in Eukaryota, Metazoa, Chordata, Mammalia, Dermoptera, Cynocephalidae. The transcript is spliced from 3 exons.
GAAUACAGUAGGAGCGGAUGGUGCCUGAUAGCAGUUCACAACAGAAGAGACAAUCACCACUGAGUACACCAUCAGAGGAGGAGCUGAUCUUUCAUCCUUUUAAAUGAGCUGAAGAUACAUUCAAUGUGUCAAGAGCUUUACUUCCGGGAGACCAAUAUUUCUUUCUCAUUCAGUUGUUUCAAGCAGGGCUUCCAGUCAAUAUCACUUGAAAAGUAAGACAGCAAUAAACUACCGCUUAACUUGUAAAUCAUAAAGUCUUCCAGCCUAAGGGAUAGUUCUUUGACGACUAAGGAGCAGGAAAAAAAUCUCAGAUUAUUUAUUCUACGGUAAAAACUGAUCUGUAAAGAGAGGUUUCCUGAUCAUGCUUUACUUCUUAAACAGGAAGAUAAAAUGGACACCCCGCUUCACAUUUUGGAUUCCCAAGAGCUGCACACCAGGCGGAUUAGCGCAAGGGGUUCGGGCAGGAAACGAGCCGGCGCCUUUAAGAGGAACCAGCGGUAAUUUUCCACUGCCCCCACCAGCCCCGUCCAAGCGGCAGGCGGCUGGGCGCGGCGGACUGCGGCUGCGCAGAGCGGCGCGCGCCUCCGUUGCCUGGAUACUGCCCCCCCACCCCCGGCGCCCGGGGCUCCCGUGUUUCUAAGAUGGCUUCCCAGUCCUGCUUUAAUGCGUCAGGAACGACGCCAGUUGCACACCCUUGAGGUUAGCAGAAAGCAAGAGCUGUAUGGCUAGUUUUAAACGUGCUCGAUGGCAAUAUUUAUUUGCUAUUAUCACUUUACGAAAAUCCUUUCAGUUAGGCUGUCUGAGUGGGAGAAAAACCAGGGGAAUGCCGCAAGGUGCAUAAGCCAAGGACUCAGCCUUCCCGUGGCAGGGCCUUUGGCUUCAAAAUUGGUGAUCCAUUCGUCGUUUCUAAUAAUAAGAAUUCUGGUUUUUCCUGUUCAACUAGCUCAGGUAGAAAUCUUGAGAUUUAAACUGGACUAUGUAGCUUAACUAUAAAAGCCGUAUCAUUACGUGGAUCAGCGAGGGUAAUGAUGCCCCUGACUGUGUACACUAUCCUUUUAAAAACACCUGUUGAUUUGUCUAUUUUUUCUUUUUCUUGGAAAGUUGUUUUAUACCCAGAUCCGAUCUAAUGGUACUACUAUAAUUUUUAUUAGAUUGUAAAUUCCUUUGGGGAUAGAAACUUUGUUUUAUCCAUCUUUGUAUCCCAGAAGUGUUUCUGCCUGUAACACAUCUUCAAAUAAUGUUGCUAAAUAAUACUGAUUAACAUCUACUGAGGCUUUUCACUAUACCAAGCACUGUGCUUAUGGUAGGUACCCCCAUUUUACAGAUAGAGAAACUAAGGCUCCAGGAGGUUAAGUACUUUCCUAAAGUGUCACAGCGAGUACUUGGAUGGUGGAACCGGAAUUCAAACCGAGGCAGUCUGAGGAGAGCUUUCACUAGGCUGCCGUUGUGCGACACUGUCCCUCUAAAUACUGCAGGGAGUGCAUGAUGUCUUCUAAUUGCAACACUUUCAAGGAGGAAUGUGAAAGUCUCCUUCCCUGCAAUAUGCCUCCCUUUGUUGUGAACAGACUUUUUACAUCUGUAUCAGGUAUUAGUGGCCAGGGCAUUUAGAUGCUUAUUAUCUCUUAGCGGAAAGACCCAAACCUAACCAACCGUGGUGCCAGGUGUUGGAGAAAUAUAAUUAAAAACAGAAUCUCCUGCCAAUCCGAAAAACCUCUCCACAAAAGUAGGUGAAAAAUAAAACAGUUUUAUUAUUGAGUAAGCAUUAAACCAAAAUGUGAUGUGCUUUACCGGCAAUCAGCUAAGAGAUUGCAAAGAAAAAAUUUCACCCUUUUACAUACCUAGGCAGAUAUCUUUUCCCCAAGUAGGAGGACUUGACAGCACUGUUUGUUACACAUUGUUCAUCCAAAAUUCACCUGAUAAUUGGUAGCUGAUAAUCUGUUAGCAAAUUAUCUUAAGCCAAAGGAAAAAUAAACAUACUUUUAUAACAGGAAUUAGGUUUGCAACUUGGCGCAGUGCACUCAGUGGAGUUAGACUUCUACCUUCCCACAGAAACUGGGAAAUAGGGACGCUAUCUUCUGUGCUGAUUACAUUUCAGAGAGACAGCUUCCAGGUCAUUGAGAAAGACAUUCCUGGGUUGUAAAGCUGGCAGGAGGCCUGUUUAGCUUUUAAGAAGAUUUACAUACGUCUCAAAGGGGUAGAGAAAGAAUUUAAAAUUAUAAGUUUUCUAAAAUACAUGCUGAAAGAAAGGGAGGGAGGAGAAUCUUUUCCCCUUUCUGUACUGGGAUAUUUACUUAUUAGAUUUGUAUUUAACCCGACACAAGAUACAGACUCCAGCUCUUUCAAUCAAAGAGUCUGCUUGCAUUAAAUUUUUACCUCUCUGGCCCACCCUUUGCAUGGACAAAAUAAUGAGUCAAAUAUUAGGAAGCCAGAAAUGUGUUACCAUAUGCAGAGGGCUAAAUUCUUUAUUUUGAUUCAAAUUCUUACUUCCUGAUUUCUUUGAAAUUAAACCUAAUUUCUAGCAGAUGCUGAAGAGUUGCAGCAUGCUGCACCAGAUCAAGAGAAUGUGUUCAAGAAAUGCCAAACGGGCAACUGGCUUUAAUGUUCUUUUUAGUUGUGUCUCCACUCUUCAGUCCUCCCUCUUCCAUGCACGGCCUUGGAGAUGCCUAGCAGGAAGGCCCUCUUCUCUUCACUGACCUCCUGAUCUUCAGACGCCCUUGCUUCUAGAAUCCUACCUUAGCUUCUUUGUCAAAAAAGUCAGGCUGCUUGUGGCUACGUGUAUUUGCAUGUGCUGAUACCUGGGGAGACCACCUUCCUCCACCGUUUCUGCUUGCUUGGAUUCACAAGCAAGACAGCUCAGCUAUCCUUUCCUUGUGGAAUCCUUCCCUGACCCACCUCCCUGCUCACUCUCCUGCAUCAUUUGGUCUCCCCUGGGCUCCCAGACCACUUGGUAAUUUCCCCUAUUACAGCACUCACAGAGUUACAUGUGUGUAGUCACGUUUAAU